Long non-coding RNA from Raphanus sativus (radish), 1668 nucleotides. RefSeq lists it as uncharacterized. NCBI's taxonomy places the organism in Eukaryota, Viridiplantae, Streptophyta, Magnoliopsida, Brassicales, Brassicaceae. The record is from RefSeq and is a predicted model, not a curated record. The transcript has 4 exons.
GACAAGUAUUAGCACGAACUACUAAAACCUCAACAUCAAACUUUUUUUUAAUUUGUCACCGAAGUUACUAGAUUAGUUUGUUAUGAAGCAGAUUCUUCUUAGAUGAAUGAUGACCAUCUGUUGAUGGUCGAUCUACAAAAAUGUGAAUGGAAAGAAUCUCAAACUCCUCUCUCUUGUAAGAAAAGAAUCAUGACUGGAUUGUUGUUGUUAACUUUGGUUGAGUCUUGGGCCUCUUGGCGAUUUGAUUAACAUGAUGAUGGUUCACUUGAAUUAUCACCAGGUUUCUGGCUACCCUUCGUGUAGUGUUACUUGUAACCUCCCAGUACAUGGGCCAAAAAAAAUAUUUAAAGGAACGGGUUCUCUACGGCUCAAUUGCCUAGGAUUUCUUCCAUUUUCUAAUAAAUAGAAGCUCUCUCUCUCUCUCUCUCUCUCUCUCUCUCUCUCUCUCUCUCUCUCUCUCUCUCUCUCUCUCUCUCUCUCUCUCUCUCCCUCUCCCUCCCUCCCUCCUCGCCGCUCUCUCUCUCCCUCUUUACUGGCGGCCGCGAAUGGUGGUAGUGGUGGUGGUGAUUGUAGCUGAUUGGUGGUGGUGAUCAGAUCUUGUUUCCCUUCUCUCUUGUUUCCUGAUCUAGAUCCAUAUCUAGGCUAAGGUACACAAGUGUUGUCUAUAUCCAUCAUCAAAUCAAGACAAAGAAGAAGACUUUACCCAUGUUGUUUAGAGCCUACACAUCUAAUACAAUAAAGUUGAGAAAUCUGCCUCCUCAGGCUAUCCACGACAUAUUUGUGAGGGGGCAAAUAGUGACACAUGUCGCAACCACACUGGUCUGUGUGUCUCACGCGGUAAACCUACUUUUGAUGUCUGUGUAAUUGCGUAAACUACACGCGCAUUCAUUGUAUGCGAUUUGUUCUUCGCCAUCGCCGCCGUCUUGGUACCCUCUUCGCGAACGCAAGAGAAACGGCUACGAAAUCAAAUCAGAGAGGACAACCUCUGUCAAGCAUUACUUCCAAGCUCCCCCCCCCUCCCCUUUGUUGACUGACUUGAGGGAGCUAAUUACAAUUCUGCGUACGAAUACGAAUUUGAUGAAUUUGAUUGGAUCCUCUUUUAUGUAGGAUGUUCUUGCCUAUUUUGGUUAUUGCUGAAAUUCUACAGGUUUUAGUGGAGUUUUAGCCUCUUUGCUACGCAGGCUUUGUACCAAAAACAGGGUCUGUUUCUUAUCUCACUGAUCCAUCAAAGAUGGAGGAGGCUUCUGCUGAAGGUAACGCACAGCUGGAGGUUGUAGAGAGGUUGCUCAAGGUUUACUUGGCGUGCCCUCCCAAGACCAAAAACAUCAUGGAACUCAAGGUUCAGUUGUAGAUACCUUUAUUAAGUGGAGAGAGCACACUAUCAAAGAAUAAUAAUGGCUUAGAACAGAGAUAAAGAGCAAAGAACGCAAAGAGUCUUUUGUUAAUUUUUCUUAAUAAUAAACCUCACACGAUUCUGCAGUUGUUUCAUUGAAAUGUUUGCAAUUUUUCUGUAAUUUUAUGUCUAUCUUUAGCACUGAUGCUGUUAGGUUAUAAAUCUUUGGAUUCAAAUACAUUAAUGAUUUUGUUCAGAAUUUUGUGGAGAAGAAUAUGUAUGAUACAAAGAACAAUAUCAACAUUUUUGCUUCUGUUCUAUACAAUAAGAUUUUG